This 246-nucleotide ribosomal RNA is filed under the name uncultured bacterium. Its description in RNAcentral is "partial 16S ribosomal RNA". It matches the Rfam family "Bacterial small subunit ribosomal RNA", at positions 15 to 254 of the family's 1533-position model. The record is from RNAcentral.
GAUCCUGGCUCAGGACGAACGCUGGCGGCGCGCCUAACACAUGCAAGUCGAACGAGCGAGAGAGAGCUUGCUUUCUUCGAGCGAGUGGCGAACGGGUGAGUAACGCGUGAGGAACCUGCCUCAAAGAGGGGGACAACAGUUGGAAACGACUGCUAAUACCGCAUAAGCCCACGACCCGGCAUCGGGUUGAGGGAAAAGGAGCAAUCCGCUUUGAGAUGGCCUACGCGUCCGAUUAGCUAGUUGGUG